UACGUAGGGGGCAAGCGUUGUCCGGAAUUAUUGAGCGUAAAGAGCUCGUAGGCGGUUUGUCGCGUCUGCUGUGAAAACUCAGGGCUUAACCCUGAGCCUGCAGUGGGUACGGGCAGACUAGAGUGUGGUAGGGGAGAUCGGAAUUCCUGGUGUAGCGGUGGAAUGCGCAGAUAUCAGGAGGAACACCGGUGGCGAAGGCGGAUCUCUGGGCCAUAACUGACGCUGAGGAGCGAAAGCAUGGGGAGCGAACAGG
This 253-nucleotide ribosomal RNA is filed under the name uncultured bacterium. RNAcentral describes it as "partial 16S ribosomal RNA". It matches the Rfam family "Bacterial small subunit ribosomal RNA", at positions 524 to 776 of the family's 1533-position model. The record is from RNAcentral.